This 440-nucleotide ribosomal RNA is filed under the name uncultured bacterium. RNAcentral describes it as "partial 16S ribosomal RNA". It matches the Rfam family "Bacterial small subunit ribosomal RNA", at positions 338 to 795 of the family's 1533-position model. The record is from RNAcentral.
CCUACGGGAGGCAGCAGUGGGGGAUAUUGCACAAUGGGGGGAACCCUGAUGCAGCGACGCCGCGUGGGUGAAGAAGCGCCUCGGCGCGUAAAGCCCUGUCAGCAGGGAAGAAAAUGACGGUACCUGAAGAAGAAGCCCCGGCUAACUACGUGCCAGCAGCCGCGGUAAUACGUAGGGGGCAAGCGUUAUCCGGAUUUACUGGGUGUAAAGGGGGCGCAGACGGGGUUGCAAGCCAGGAGUGAAAGCCCGGGGUCCAACCCCGGGACUGCUCUUGGAACUGCGUGGCUGGAGUGCAGGAGGGGCAGGCGGAAUUCCUGGUGUAGCGGUGAAAUGCGCAGAGAUAAGGAGGAACACCAGUGGCGAAGGCGACCUACUGGACUGCAACUGACGUUGAGGCCCGAAAGCGUGGGGAGCAAACAGGAUUAGAUACCCGAGUAGUC